GGGGUUGUAGCUCAAUUGGUAGAGCACUACAAUGGCAUUGUAGAGGUCAGGGGUUCGAUUCCCCUCGGCUCCACCA
This 76-nucleotide transfer RNA is filed under the name Alphaproteobacteria bacterium. RNAcentral's name for it is "tRNA-Ala". It matches the Rfam family "tRNA". Rfam says of the family: Transfer RNA (tRNA) molecules are approximately 80 nucleotides in length. The record is from RNAcentral. Lineage: Bacteria; Pseudomonadati; Pseudomonadota; Alphaproteobacteria.